This 253-nucleotide ribosomal RNA is filed under the name uncultured bacterium. RNAcentral describes it as "partial 16S ribosomal RNA". It matches the Rfam family "Bacterial small subunit ribosomal RNA", at positions 524 to 776 of the family's 1533-position model. The record is from RNAcentral.
UACAGAGGUGGCAAGCGUUGUCCGGAAUUACUGGGCGUAAAGGGCGCGUAGGCGGCCUUCUAAGUCAGACGUGAAAUCCCCCGGCUUAACCUGGGAACUGCGUCUGAUACUGGGAGGCUUGAGUAUGGGAGAGGGAUGUAGAAUUCCAGGUGUAGCGGUGAAAUGCGUAGAUAUCUGGAGGAAUACCGGUGGCGAAGGCGGCAUCCUGGACCAUUACUGACGCUGAGGCGCGAAAGCUAGGGGAGCAAACGGG